CUGGACUUAAGAGAUCCUACCACAGCAGAUCCAGCAGCAGAUCCAGCUGAGGAUCCCAGUCCCCAUUAACCAUUUCCCCCCCCAAACCCAGCCGAAUCUACGAGAUCCUGCUGCAGCGGAUCCUAGAGAUGCUGCAGUCCCCAUUAACCCUUUCCUCACCCCAGUCCCAGCCGGAUCUAUGAGAUCCUGCCUUGGUGGAUCCAGCAGUGGAUCCAGCAGUGGAUCCCAGGGAUCCUGCAGCCCCCAUUAACCCUUUUCCCCACCAAUCCCAGCCAGAUCUACGAGAUCCUGCCGCAGCGGAUCCAGCAGUGGAUCCCAGCCCCUAUUAACCCUUUCCUCCCCCCGAUCCCUGCCAGUUCUACGAGAUCCUGCCGCAGCGGAUCCAGCAGUGGAUCCCAGGGAUCCUCCAACCCUCAUUAACCCUUUCCUCCCCCCGAUCCCAGCCGGAUCUACAGGAUCCUACCACAGCAGAUCCAGCAGUGGAUCCCAGGGAUCCUGGAGCCACCAUUAACCCUUUCCUCACCCCAAUCCCAGCUGGAUCUACAAGAUCCUGCUGCAGCGGAUCCAGCAGUAGACCCCAGCCCCCAUUAACCCUUUCCUCACCCCAAUCCCAGCCAGAUGUAUGAGAUCCUGCCGCAGCGGAUCCAGCAGCGGAUCCAGCAGUGGAUCCAGGAAUCCUGCAGCCCCCAUUAACCCUUUCCUCCCCCCGAUCCCAGCCGGAUCUACGAGAUCCUGCCGCAGCGGAUCCAGCAGUGGCAGCAGAGCCCGUGCGUGGCGGAGGAGCACGGCAAGCGGCUGCUGGAGCGCAUCCGGCGCGAGCAGCACCAGGCGCGGCUGCGGCUGCAGGAGAUGGAGCGGCGCUUCCACGAGCUCGAGGGGCUCAUCGCCCGCGCCAAGGGGCACCCACCCCGCGAGGAUGAGGAGAGCACGGAGGGGGACAGCGAGGACACGGACUUGCAGAUCUUCUGCGUGUCCUGUGGCCACCCCAUCAACCCCAAGGUGGCCCUGAGGCACAUGGAGC
Molecule: long non-coding RNA, 1021 nt
Filed under: Junco hyemalis (dark-eyed junco)
Lineage: Eukaryota; Metazoa; Chordata; Aves; Passeriformes; Passerellidae
Description: lncRNA (ENSJHYG00000015223.1)
Source: RNAcentral